CGGUUUCAGCCCGCCCGACCUUUCCUACGCGAGUAACCCAGCACCACCACCACGGCAGCCACACUCGCGUGCACAGAUUUGCCCUGCGGUGCCUUCUCUCUGUGCGCUCUCCAACAUCCUAACCGUAUCCGCGAUGUCCGCCAAGACGGCCGCCGCUCCGUCGGAGCGCAGCUUCGUCGAUCGGUUUUUGCGCAGUCAUGCCGGCGCCGCCACAGCCGCCGGUAUCCUCGAGAUUGCCUUCUUCCAUCCGUUCGACACGACGGCGAAGCGACUGAUGGCAAACAAGGGCUCCAUCAUGCGCGGCUCCAUGGGGGAGACGGCCGCCAACCUCAACAUGAUCGUCUUCAAAAAGCACGCCGACGCCGGCUUCCUUCGAAAGGUUGUGUACCUCUACCCGGGCUCCCUGUACGCCACCGUGUACAAGGUCUUCCAGCGCGUCUACAAGUUCGCCGGACAGCCCCUCGUGCGCGACUUUCUCAGCUCCAACUACCGCGACGGCUUCAAGCGGUACUGUGGCGAGGCGCACAAGGUUAUGGAGGACGCGACGGCCGGCUGCCUCAUCGGCCUCGGCGAGGUCUUCUUGCUGCCGCUGGAUCGGCUGAAGGUAUUGAGCCAGACGAACGAGGCCGCCAUGCGGAGCGGUCUUCUGCCGCUUCUGCGCCAGGAGGGCUUCCGCGGUAUGUACGCGGGUACCGUGGUGACGAUGUGCCGCAACGCCCCCGGCUCGUUCUGUCUAUUUGGUGGCACAGCCUUCACGAAGGGGUACAUCUUCGGCCUCAGCGACUACCGCCAUGCGACUCUCUUCCAGAACAUGUGCGCCUCCACUGUGGGCGCGUGCGUCGCCAUCGCCAUCUCUAACCCGAUGGACGUCGUCAAGACUCGUGUGCAGCAGCAGACGGACGCCGAGCGUCGCAGCGGCAUGACGAUGGCGACGGCGAUGCUGAAGGAGGAGGGCGUGCUGUCCUUCUUCAAGGGCCUCACGCCGAAGAUCAUCGCCUCGGCGCCGAAGCUGAUUUUUGCGUACACCAUGACCGAGUACUUCUUCAAGGUGAUGAACGACUCCAAGAAGCGUUGAGCACGCCCCCUUGCACGCAUGGACGUGCGUGCGUGGCUGCAUCCUUCUCUUCCUUCUCCGUCCUACCGUCCCCUCACACCGAGGAGAGCAGUGCCGUGUGCAGCGGCUUGUGCCCCUCCCACCAUAGAAUGAAGACAGCAGGGGCGGCCAAGAGGAACGUCCGAAUACGCAAUAAUAACUGGAGCGCGGCUCGUGUGUGCGUGUGCGCGCCCAUGAUGGGGACAUGGAUGCGGUGGGACCAUCGAGUUGUACCGAUGCCAUUCACAAGGGGGCUGAAGGCGCUCCGGCCUGACCAUCUCCCCACCCUCCCCCGCCCUCCGUAGAUCGCGUUGGACUGGCCGCCAUUUCUGCCGGACGGGUGACGCUGCUAUGACGAUUCGUCUGCCAGUCACCAGAGCAUGGACGAUGGGCAGGGGGAGGGAGGCAGCCAAGGACUCUGCAGAGAUACAGCGGUCCCUCUCCGCCGCUGUCUCGCGCCGACACGAGACAGCGGGGGUUGGCGGGCGACGCAGCGCAGGAGAAGCAUCUUCACACUGAGGAAAGAAGACGGCAGGCUACGGCUGCUGCCCUUCCCUUCCCUCCCCCAUCGCCUCUGCGUCCGCCUGAUUCGACUCGCUCAUUUUUCCGUUUCGGUCUCGUUUUUUUCUUCGUCUGUGCUUGACGGCGAUACCGGACGGUUGGGAGGCGAUGAGGGGGCGGGGUGGCUUAGCGAGGGUGUUGACGCAGCGGCCAUGCAGGGCGAUUGCUGAUAAGGCACGGUGAUGCGCACCGACGCGACCUGCUCCUCUGUCUCUGCCCUCACCCCUCUCUAUCACGCCACGGAGUACUCCGCCCUCUCUCCCUUUUACAAGCAUCUGAGUGACACACACACACAUACACACACACGCACACGCGUGCACCGGCGCUUUAAGAAGUUUAACCCGAGCGGUGGACUGAAUGCUUUCUUCAUUCUCUCUGACACACACACACACACACACGUGCAUACGCACAUACGUCGGUGAAGACAUGCCUUGGGCAAGGGAGACAGACGAC
Molecule: unclassified non-coding RNA, 2107 nt
Filed under: Leishmania donovani
Lineage: Eukaryota; Euglenozoa; Kinetoplastea; Trypanosomatida; Trypanosomatidae
Description: gene:LdHU3.02.0810(CDS-product:mitochondrial_carr ier_protein_putative)
Source: RNAcentral